RNAcentral lists this long non-coding RNA (618 nucleotides) under Equus caballus (horse). Its description in RNAcentral is "lncRNA (ENSECAG00000051289.1)". The record is from RNAcentral. Lineage: Eukaryota; Metazoa; Chordata; Mammalia; Perissodactyla; Equidae.
GGCAAAGUGAAGUCAGCUGUAACGGCAGGUCUGGGUUUCCUGUCUGCUGUGAUGAAUAACCCUCUGGUUCUGGAGUGUAGAAAAUGCAUCUGUCUUCUGGUGCAGAAAUAUGAAGGUGGUGGGUUGGACCACAGAAAGAAAGCUAAAAAAAGAAAAGAACCAGGAAAUUCUUCCAGAAUGACUAUGCAAUGUAGACUUGACUUGGUUCAUCAAAUAGCUUGGAUCUCUUAGAAGAUACGGGAAUCCAAUUAAAUGAUAAAAGUCCUAAAAUAUUUACAAAGAAAAUAUGCAGCUCAAUAAGAGAUUAUUAAAUAUAAUGUGCCACACACAUGUCUAAUUUUGUUCUUCCAGUGGCAGACGGUAAACAGGAUGUUGAGAAACUGAGAUUGGGGUCUCUCAGUCUGCAGGAGCUUCUUCACGGGGGACGGUUGUAAACAGGAACUCUGCCAGGCGUCCUGGGCUGGGGACCCUGUGAUCUCUUUCGGCAUUUCCUGAAGUUUUUCAUCUGGAACAGGCUGACUCCGAUGUCAUCCCAGAACCUGUCCUUUAUGCCUGAAAGAGCUAGAAGGAUUGGAGGCACAGACCAGCCCACGAAGACUAAAAUGUUUACUAUCUAGC